Salmo salar (Atlantic salmon) is the source of this 464-nucleotide non-coding RNA. Lineage: Eukaryota; Metazoa; Chordata; Actinopteri; Salmoniformes; Salmonidae. The record is from RefSeq and is a predicted model, not a curated record.
GUAGGUAUCUAGUUGAAGUGUGUCUGUAUCUAACUGUCUCUCCCUGGCUGUAGGUAUCUAACGGUCUCUCCCUGGCUGUAGGUAUCUUACUGUCUCUCCCUGGCUGUAGGUAUCUAGUUGAAGUGUGUCUGUAUCUAACGGUCUCUCCCUGGCUGUAGGUAUCUAGUUGAAGUGUGUCUGUAUCUAACUGUCUCUCCCUGACUGUAGGUAUCUAGUUGAAGUGUGUCUGUAUCUAACGGUCUCUCCCUGGCUGUAGGUAUCUAACGGUCUCUCCAUGGCUGUAGGUAUCUAACGGUCUCUCCCUGGCUGUAGGUAUCUAGUUGAAGUGUGUCUGUAUCUAACGGUCUCUCCCUGGCUGUAGGUAUCUAGUUGAAGUGUGUCUGUAUCUAACGGUCUCUCCCUGGCUGUAGGUAUCUAACGGUCUCUCCCUGGCUGUAGGUAUCUAACUGUCUCUCCCUGGCUGU